UACGGAGGUUGCAAGCGUUGUUCGGAAUGACUGGGCGUAAAGGGAGCGCAGCCGGCUCGAUUAGUCUGGAGUGAAAGCCCGGGGCUUAACCCCGGAGGGUCUUCGGAUACUGUCGAGCUCGAGUACGGAAGAGGAGAGUGGAAUUCCAGGUGUAGCGGUGAAAUGCGUAGAUAUCUGGAGGAACACCGGUGGCGAAAGCGGCUCUCUGGUCCGAUACUGACGGUCAUGCUCGAAAGCGUGGGGAGCAAACGGG
This 253-nucleotide ribosomal RNA is filed under the name uncultured bacterium. RNAcentral's name for it is "partial 16S ribosomal RNA". It matches the Rfam family "Bacterial small subunit ribosomal RNA", at positions 524 to 776 of the family's 1533-position model. The record is from RNAcentral.